This 76-nucleotide transfer RNA is filed under the name Desulfovibrionaceae bacterium. RNAcentral's name for it is "tRNA-Ala". It matches the Rfam family "tRNA". Rfam says of the family: Transfer RNA (tRNA) molecules are approximately 80 nucleotides in length. Their secondary structure includes four short double-helical elements and three loops (D, anti-codon, and T loops). The record is from RNAcentral. Lineage: Bacteria; Pseudomonadati; Thermodesulfobacteriota; Desulfovibrionia; Desulfovibrionales; Desulfovibrionaceae.
GGGGCUAUAGUUCAGCUGGGAGAAUGUUUGCAUGGCAUGCAAAAGGUCGGCGGUUCAAUCCCGCCUAGCUCCACCA